CGUACGCUGGCGGCACGCCUAACACAUGCAAGUCGAACGCAGUAGCAAUACUGAGUGGCGGACGGGUGAGUAACGCGUGAGAAUCUGCCCUCAGGAGGGGGAUAACGGCUGGAAACGGCCGCUAAUACCCCAUAUGCCGCGAGGUGAAAUGAAUUUCGCCUGAGGAUGAGCUCGCGUCUGAUUAGCUAGUUGGUGGGGUAAAGGCCUACCAAGGCAUCGAUCAGUAGCUGGUCUGAGAGGAUGACCAGCCACACUGGAACUGAGACACGGUCCAGACUCCUACGGGAGGCAGCAGUGGGGAAUAUUGCACAAUGGGCGCAAGCCUGAUGCAGCCAUGCCGCGUGUGUGAAGAAGG
This 355-nucleotide ribosomal RNA is filed under the name uncultured bacterium. RNAcentral describes it as "bacterial SSU rRNA". It matches the Rfam family "Bacterial small subunit ribosomal RNA", at positions 30 to 414 of the family's 1533-position model. The record is from RNAcentral.